Molecule: ribosomal RNA, 386 nt
Filed under: Macaca silenus (liontail macaque)
Lineage: Eukaryota; Metazoa; Chordata; Mammalia; Primates; Cercopithecidae
Description: 12S ribosomal RNA
Rfam family: Bacterial small subunit ribosomal RNA
Source: RNAcentral
GCUUGGCCCUAAACCUCAGUAGUUAAACAACAAAACUACUCGCCAGAAUACUACGAGCAACAGCUUAAAACUCAAAGGACUUGACGGUGCUUUACACCCCCUAGAGGAGCCUGUUCCAUAAUCGAUAAACCCCGAUUCACCCCACCCUCUCUUGCUCAGCCUAUAUACCGCCAUCUUCAGCAAACCCUGAUAAAGAUUACAAAGUGAGCGCAAACGCCUCCCCGCAAAAACGUUAGGUCAAGGUGUAGCCCAUGAGACGGUAAAAAAUGGGCUACAUUUUCUGUAUCAGAAAACCCACGAAAACCCUUAUGAAAUUUAAGAGUCCAAGGAGGAUUUAGCAGUAAAUUAAGAAUAGAGUGCUUAAUUGAACCAGGCCAUAAAGCGCG